UACGUAGGGGGCAAGCGUUGUCCGGAAUCAUUGGGCGUAAAGCGCGUGUAGGCGGUUCGGUAAGUCUGCUGUGAAAGUCCAGGGCUCAACCCUGGGAUGCCGGUGGAUACUGUCGGGCUAGAGUGCGGAAGAGGCGAGUGGAAUUCCCGGUGUAGCGGUGAAAUGCGCAGAUAUCAGGAAGAACACCUAUGGUGAAGGCAGCACUCUGGGACGGUACUGACGCUGAGACGCGAAAGCGUGGGGAGCGAACAGG
This 253-nucleotide ribosomal RNA is filed under the name uncultured bacterium. RNAcentral describes it as "partial 16S ribosomal RNA". It matches the Rfam family "Bacterial small subunit ribosomal RNA", at positions 524 to 776 of the family's 1533-position model. The record is from RNAcentral.